UACGUAGGGGGCUAGCGUUGUCCGGAAUCAUUGGGCGUAAAGAGCGUGUAGGCGGUCCGGUAAGUCCGCUGUGAAAGUCGGGGGCUCAACCCUCGAAUGCCGGUGGAUACUGUCGGGCUAGAGUGCGGAAGAGGCGAGUGGAAUUCCUGGUGUAGCGGUGGAAUGCGCAGAUAUCAGGAGGAACACCGAUGGCGAAGGCAGGUCUCUGGGCCGCAACUGACGCUGAGGAGCGAAAGCAUGGGGAGCGAACAGG
This 253-nucleotide ribosomal RNA is filed under the name uncultured bacterium. RNAcentral describes it as "partial 16S ribosomal RNA". It matches the Rfam family "Bacterial small subunit ribosomal RNA", at positions 524 to 776 of the family's 1533-position model. The record is from RNAcentral.